RNAcentral lists this ribosomal RNA (478 nucleotides) under uncultured bacterium. RNAcentral describes it as "bacterial SSU rRNA". It matches the Rfam family "Bacterial small subunit ribosomal RNA", at positions 30 to 506 of the family's 1533-position model. The record is from RNAcentral.
AUUGAACGCUGGCGGCAUGCCUUACACAUGCAAGUCGAACGGCAGCACGGGAGCAAUCCUGGUGGCGAGUGGCGAACGGGUGAGUAAUAUAUCGGAACGUGCCCGGUCGUGGGGAUAACGUAGCGAAAGCUACGCUAAUACCCGCAUACGAUCUACGGAUGAAAGCGGGGGAUCGCAAGACCUCGCGCGAUUGGAGCGGCCGAUAUCAGAUUAGGUAGUUGGUGAGGUAAAGGCUCACCAAGCCGACGAUCUGUAGCUGGUCUGAGAGGACGACCAGCCACACUGGGACUGAGACACGGCCCAGACUCCUACGGGAGGCAGCAGUGAGGAAUAUUGGACAAUGGGCGCAAGCCUGAUCCAGCCAUGCCGCGUGCAGGAAGAAGGUCCUAUGGAUUGUAAACUGCUUUUAUACAAGAAGAAACACUCCCUCGUGAGGGAACUUGACGGUACUGUAUGAAUAAGGACCGGCUAACUCCGU